AAUCAGUGAUGUCACUAUCCCGAACCUGAUACAUGAUGAAACAUGCAAACGGAUCUGACUGCUGAGAU
Molecule: small nucleolar RNA, 68 nt
Organism: Carcharodon carcharias (great white shark)
Lineage: Eukaryota; Metazoa; Chordata; Chondrichthyes; Lamniformes; Lamnidae
Product: small nucleolar RNA SNORD50
Exons: 1
Source: RefSeq, a predicted model, not a curated record